This 76-nucleotide transfer RNA is filed under the name Sulfurimonas sp. SAG-AH-194-I05. Its description in RNAcentral is "tRNA-Val". Lineage: Bacteria; Pseudomonadati; Campylobacterota; Epsilonproteobacteria; Campylobacterales; Sulfurimonadaceae. The record is from RNAcentral.
GGUUCUUUAACUCAGUUGGUAGAGUGAUACCAUGACAUGGUAUAAGUCGGCAGUUCGAGCCUGCCAAGAACCACCA